Molecule: small nuclear RNA, 102 nt
Organism: Nycticebus coucang (slow loris)
Lineage: Eukaryota; Metazoa; Chordata; Mammalia; Primates; Lorisidae
Source: RefSeq, a predicted model, not a curated record
GUGCACUCUUAGGCAGCACAUAUACUAAAAUUAGAACAAUACAAAGAUUAGCAUGGCUGUCUGCACAAGGGUGACCUGUAUCACGAAGCAUUCCUUAUUUUU